AGUUCGAUUCUGGCUCGAUUGAACGCUGGCGGGAUGCUUUACACAUGCAAGUCGAACGGCAGCACGGACUUCGGUCUGGUGGCGAGGAAGUGAACGGGUGAGUAGUAUCGGAACGUGCCUAGUAUGGGGAUAACUACGCGAAAGCGUAGCCAAUACCGCAUACGUACCCUUCGGGGAAAGCGGGGGACCUUCGGGCCUCGCACUGUUGCGAUGGGCUGAGGACAGAUUAGCUAGUUGGUGGGGUAACGGCUCACUCAAGGCGACGAUCCGUAGCUGGUUUGAGAGGAUGACCAGCCACACUGGGACUGAGACACGGCCCAGACUCCUACGGAGGCAGCAGUGGGGAAUUUGGAUAAAUGGGGGAAACCCUGAUCCAGCCAUCCCGUGUGCGAUGAAGGCCCUCGGGCUGUAAAGCACUUUUGGCAGGAAGAAACGGCACGGGAUAAUACCCCGUGCAACUAACGGUACCUGCAGAAUAAGCACCGGCUAACUACGUGCCAGCAGCCGCGGUAAUAUUGAAGUGCUGUUAACGGAAUUACUGGCGAAAGCGUGCGCAGGCGGUUCGGAAAGAAAGAUGUGAAAUCCCAGAGCUUAACUUUGGAACUGCAUUUUUUAAUCACUGAGCUAGAGUGUGUCAGGAGGGAGGUGGAAUUCGCGUAGCAGUGAAAUGCGUAGAUAUGCGGAGGAACACCGAUGGCGAAGGCAGCCUCCUGGGAUAACACUGACGCUCAUGCACGAAAGCGUGGGGAGCAAACAGGAUUGAGAUACUCCUGGUGAACCACGCCCCAAACGGGAUAACGCCAGCUGUUGGGGCCUUCGGGCCUUUUUGGUAGCGCAGCUAACGCGUGAAGUUGACCGCCUGGGGAGUACGGUCGCAAGAUUAAACCCCAAAGGAAUUGACGGGGACCCGCACAAGCGGUGGAUGAUGCGGAUUAAUUCGAUGCAACGCGAAAACCUUACCUACCCUUGACAUGUCUGGAAUCCCGAAGAGAUUUGGGAGUGCUCGCAAGAGAACCGGAACACAGGUGCUGGCAUGGCUGUCGUCAGCUCGUAGCCGUGAGAUGUUGGUUGGUCCUGCAACGAGCGCAACCCUUGUCAUUAGUUGCUACGAAAGGGCACUCAUCGAGAUCGCCGGUGAGCAACCGGAGGAAGGUGGGGAUGACGUCAAGUCCUCAUGGCCCUUAUGGGUAGGGGCUUCACACGUCAUACAAUGGUCGGGACAGAGGGUCGCCAACCCGCGAGGGGGAGCCAAUCCUAGAACCCGAUCGUAGUCCGGAUCGCAGUCUGCAACCUGACUGCGUAGUCGGAAUCGCUAGUAAUCGCGGAUCAGUGAUGUCGCGGUGAAUAUGUUCCCGGGUCUUGCAUGACACCGCCUGUCAUAAUCAGGAGUGGGUUUUACCAGAAGUAGUUAGCUCAAUCCGCAGAGGGCGAUUAACACGGUAGGAUUCAUGACUGGGGUGAAGUCGUAACAAGGU
RNAcentral lists this ribosomal RNA (1475 nucleotides) under uncultured Bordetella sp. RNAcentral's name for it is "partial 16S-23S ribosomal RNA intergenic spacer". It matches the Rfam family "Bacterial small subunit ribosomal RNA". The record is from RNAcentral. Lineage: Bacteria; Pseudomonadati; Pseudomonadota; Betaproteobacteria; Burkholderiales; Alcaligenaceae.